CGAAAGCCUGACGGAGCAAGACCGCGUGAGGGAGGAAGGCCCUUGGGUUGUAAACCUCUUUUCUCAGGGAAGAAGUCCUGACGGUACCUGAGGAAUCAGCCUCGGCUAACUCCGUGCCAGCAGCCGCGGUAAUACGGAGGAGGCAAGCGUUAUCCGGAAUUAUUGGGCGUAAAGCGUCCGUAGGUGGUUAUUCAAGUCUGCUGUCAAAGCGUGGGGCUUAACUCCAUAGAGGCAGUGGAAACUGGAUGACUUGAGUGCGGUAGGGGUCGAGGGAAUUCCCAGUGUAGCGGUGAAAUGCGUAGAUAUUGGGAAGAACACCAGUGGCGAAAGCGCUCGACUGGGCCUGCACCGACACUGAGGGACGAAAGCUAGGGGAGCG
RNAcentral lists this ribosomal RNA (379 nucleotides) under uncultured cyanobacterium. RNAcentral describes it as "bacterial SSU rRNA". It matches the Rfam family "Bacterial small subunit ribosomal RNA", at positions 376 to 770 of the family's 1533-position model. The record is from RNAcentral. Lineage: Bacteria; Bacillati; Cyanobacteriota.